ACUCCUACGGGAGGCAGCAGUGGGAAUCUUAGACAAUGGGGGAAACCCUGAUCUAGCCAUGCCGCGUGAGUGAUGAAGGCCCUAGGGUCGUAAAGCUCUUUCAGCUGUGAAGAUAAUGACGGUAGCAGCAGAAGAAACCCCGGCUAACUCCGUGCCAGCAGCCGCGGUAAUACGGAGGGUGCGAGCGUUAUCCGGAUUUAUUGGGUUUAAAGGGUCCGUAGGCGGAUUAAUAAGUCAGUGGUGAAAUCCCAUCGCUUAACGAUGGAACUGCCAUUGAUACUGUUAGUCUUGAAUGAGGGUGCAGUGGUUGGAAUGUGUAGUGUAGCGGUGAAAUGCAUAGAUAUUACACAGAAACACCGAUUUGCGAAGGCAGAUCACUAACCCU
RNAcentral lists this ribosomal RNA (385 nucleotides) under uncultured bacterium. Its description in RNAcentral is "bacterial SSU rRNA". It matches the Rfam family "Bacterial small subunit ribosomal RNA", at positions 335 to 736 of the family's 1533-position model. The record is from RNAcentral.